Molecule: ribosomal RNA, 329 nt
Filed under: uncultured Actinomycetes bacterium
Lineage: Bacteria; Bacillati; Actinomycetota; Actinomycetes
Description: bacterial SSU rRNA
Rfam family: Bacterial small subunit ribosomal RNA
Source: RNAcentral
GACGAACGCUGGCGGCGCGCUUAACACAUGCAAGUCGAGCGACGAAAGGUCCUUCGGGGCCCUGAAAGCGGCGAACGGGUGAGUAACACGUGGGUAACCCACCCUCGGUACCGGGAUAGCCCGGGGAAACCCGGAUUAAUACCGGAUGGCCUCUCCGAUCUGCGGAUCGGCGAGAAAAGGUAGCUUCGGCCUCCGACCGAGGACGGGCCCGCGGCCGAUUAGCUUGUUGGCGGGGUAACAGCCCACCAAGGCGACGAUCGGUAGCUGGUCUGAGAGGACGAUCAGCCACACUGGGACUGAGACACGGCCCAGACUCCUACGGGUGGCAG